UUACGGCCACAUCACGUUGAAACACCGAUUCCCGUACGAUCACCAAACUUAAGCAACGUUCUGCCUGGUCAGUAGAUGGGUGACCGCUUGGGAAUGCGAUGUGCUGCAAG
Acanthosepion pharaonis is the source of this 110-nucleotide non-coding RNA. The record is from the annotation of a GenBank genome assembly. NCBI's taxonomy places the organism in Eukaryota, Metazoa, Mollusca, Cephalopoda, Sepiida, Sepiidae.